This 240-nucleotide long non-coding RNA is filed under the name Prunus persica (peach). Its description in RNAcentral is "long non-coding RNA (PPER_LNC003333)". The record is from RNAcentral. Lineage: Eukaryota; Viridiplantae; Streptophyta; Magnoliopsida; Rosales; Rosaceae.
AGCAUAUAGGAAAUAAUAAACAUCAAUCCAAACCUAUAUAAAUUUGAUUAGAAGUAGAACUCCCGCUAAGGCUCUACCAACUUUUUUUUUUUUUUUUCUUAUAAGGCUGUACCAACUUGACCUAUUCUAACCGUAUUGAUAUUGGACUACACCCACAGAGAGCAACCACCUAAAAUGCCAUAUUUGAAUCUUGAGAGCCUAGAGGAAAUAGCUCUCAUCCUCUAAAAAAAUGGUACCAAC